GGGGAUGACUUGGUUUCGACGGGUGAGAAAAACAACAAGCUGCGUGUCGAGUUACCCAGUGGCCUACGUUAAAAACGCUGGGAAACAAUAAUCGCCAACGAUUAUUCUUACGCGAUGGCUGCCUAACCUUAGUUGUUAGCAUAGUUCCAUCUGUCGGUCGGUUUACCUGCUCAUCGGUAGAUCGAAUCGGCAUCAUAUUUUGAUGGGCCGUGUGCAAGGGUGCAGAUCGAACCUGCGACACACGUAUCAACCGAUCUGGCUUCCGGCCCGGCUUAGUCGGCUGGCUAAGACUGGAAGUGAGAUUUAAAUAAGCCGGAUACACAUGUAGAGGCUUGGAUUGUUGGCUCAUUCGGACCCGGGUUCAACUCCCGGCAUCUCCACCA
Molecule: transfer-messenger RNA, 383 nt
Filed under: Rhodothermales
Lineage: Bacteria; Pseudomonadati; Rhodothermota; Rhodothermia
Also listed under: 1 other name
Description: UBA2364 sp016788705 Standard tmRNA
Rfam family: transfer-messenger RNA
About the family: Bacterial tmRNA, also known as 10Sa RNA or SsrA, is named for its dual tRNA and mRNA-like properties. Its role is to liberate the mRNA from a stalled ribosome.
Source: RNAcentral